ACGGACGAUGGCGAUUACAACAUCAAGCUGCGUAACCUGAUCAGUUUUCUUGAAGAAGGUGAUAAAGCCAAGAUCACGUUGCGGUUUCGCGGACGUGAAAUGGCACAUCAGGAAUUUGGUGUGCGUCUGCUUGAACGCGUCAGAGAUGAUCUGGAGCCGCAUGCGGUGGUUGAGCAGUUUCCCCGGAUGGAAGGACGGCAAAUGGUGAUGGUGCUAUCUCCGCGAAAGAAAGAAGUAGCAGUCAAACCAAAGGAAGCGAAGUCGAAGGGGGUUACGGAAACUGAUGUAGCCCGUGAUUAAGGACGUAAACUCACCUGACCAUCGCGCAGA
Molecule: unclassified non-coding RNA, 330 nt
Filed under: Nitrosospira sp. Nsp1
Lineage: Bacteria; Pseudomonadati; Pseudomonadota; Betaproteobacteria; Nitrosomonadales; Nitrosomonadaceae
Description: Long range pseudoknot
Source: RNAcentral